CGCGCCGGGCGGGCUUCCGCUGGGUCCCGGGGCGUGACAGGUUGUCCGGUAAGUGUGUGAAGCUACCAUAUGAAAUUUAAUUGAAAAACCGAAAAAGUUAAAAAAAAUGAAUAUUUUAGAAUUUUCGGAGUUACAAGGUGAUAGGAUGAAAAGAUGCUCAAAGAGCCACCCCCGGUGCCAUAUUAGUUAAAUCUCUAUUUUGAACGAGUUGCGACAAAUUGGUGUCAAUUUUGCUGAAUGUCUAAAAAUCAUUUUUCAUCAACUUACAUCUUGAUGGGUUUGAAACAUUAGGUUAUUUUCUAUUUCAAAUUUUGAUGUUUCGAUGUAUUUUGACCUCCUAUAAUAGUUUAUUUUCAUCAUAAUAAUUUUUUGAGUACAAUUCAUAAUUUUUAGGACAUUAAUUUAAUUUUGAAGGGUUUUUGAAGGAAAAUUUUUAAAUUUUUGAAAUCUGUGAAAGUGUACCGGUACAAAAUAACGUGUACCGGUACAAAACACUGUAUACUGCGUUAUUAUCACCGGUAACAGGGCUCGGUUCUCUUUCAAAUCUUAAUUAAAAUCUCUCAUCUCUCACUCUAAAAUUCCUU
Molecule: long non-coding RNA, 584 nt
Filed under: Ananas comosus (pineapple)
Lineage: Eukaryota; Viridiplantae; Streptophyta; Magnoliopsida; Poales; Bromeliaceae
Description: long non-coding RNA (ACOM_LNC042286)
Source: RNAcentral